AACGUAGGAGACAAACGUUAUCCGGAGUUACUGGGCGUAAAGGGCGUGUAGGUGGUUUCGUAAGUCUGGCGUGAAAUUUCUCGGCUUAACCGAGGCAGGUCGUCGGAUACUGCGGGACUUGAGGACGGUAGAGGCGUGUGGAAUUCCGGGUGUAGUGGUGAAAUGCGUAGAGAUCCGGAGGAACACCAGUGGCGAAGGCGACACGCUGGGCCGUACCUGACACUGAGGAGCGAAAGCAUGGGGAGCGAACAGG
Molecule: ribosomal RNA, 253 nt
Filed under: uncultured bacterium
Lineage: Bacteria
Description: partial 16S ribosomal RNA
Rfam family: Bacterial small subunit ribosomal RNA
Source: RNAcentral